RNAcentral lists this ribosomal RNA (403 nucleotides) under uncultured bacterium. RNAcentral describes it as "partial 16S ribosomal RNA". It matches the Rfam family "Bacterial small subunit ribosomal RNA", at positions 30 to 526 of the family's 1533-position model. The record is from RNAcentral.
AUUGAACGCUGGCGGCAGGCCUAACACAUGCAAGUCGAGCGAGCGGCGGACGGGUGAGUAAUGUCUGGGGACUGCCCGAUAGAGGGGGAUAACUACUGGAAACGGUGGCUAAUACCGCAUACUAUCGGAUAACCCAUAUUGGAUUAGCUAGGAGGUGGGGUAAAGGCUCACCUAGGCGACGAUCUCUAGCUGGUCUGAGAGGAUGAUCAGCCACGCUGGGACUGAUACACGGCCCAGACUCCUACGGAGGAAGCAGUGGGGAAUAUUGCAAAUUGGGCGCAAGCCUGAUGCAGCCAUGCCGCGUGUAUGAAGAAGGCCUUAGGGUUGUAAAGUACUUGCAGCGAGGAGGCGUUACCCACAGAAGAAGCACCGGCUAACGCCGUGCCAGCAGCCGCGGUAAUUC